GCGGAAGGUGGGGUGUGGGGCCGGAAGACCCUCCCCCCGCGUCUUCAGAGGAGCGCUGUUUCUGGAGGAGUUAGGGGAAGGAGGCUGCCUGGUAAGCCAGGAAAGGGGCUUCUGGCCGUUCUGUUGGAGCGCCUCUGACUGACUUCCCCCAUGUGUCCGUGUGGCCACACCGUGCUACUUUCAGAGGCAGUGGGCUUUUCGCUAAGGGAUAAAAAGAAGUAAAACCUUGCCUUUAGCGCAGCUCUCCUUCACUGGGCAGAUUGCUCUCCCUCCCCACUCUCCCAGGCCCAAAUUGGAUCUCAGCGCCUGGGAGCUCCAACUUUAGCAAGUGCGAAAUCCUGUCUUCGGUUUUGGAAUUUUCAUCCGCACAGACUAUAUCAGCCACGGAUAGGAUAUGUGAGAAUACCAGCAUGUCAAGGCUGGGAAUCAUCCUUAGGCAUCACCUAGCCAGUCCUGCCUCUCAUUUUAAGGUGAGGAUUCCUUCAUCUCUGUGACUGGCUUGCUUGAUGGUUAGGGUCUGAUCGCUGCCUGAGACACCAUAUCGGUACUCCUCAGAGUUGAUGCAGAGUGUUCAUAUGAGGAGAGACUUUCCCUUGUCUCCGUCAUCUGUGAUUUCACUUCCCUGACAGAAGACGAAGCUUCCAUCUCAGAUGUUUUCUUAAAUGAUGAAACAGCAUACGCCUCUGUUCUUGUCAGCUCAGGGAAAACAGAUCUGGGGACCUCUUCAUCUCUGCGUUGGGAAGCAUAGGUGGUAUAAUCCCCUCCUGUCACGUCCAACGUUGCAUAGUCAGAAGCUUCGCCCUUGUAGUUGGUGCACACAGCACGGUGAUCACAGGAUCUGGUUUGCCACUGAAAGGAAUCUUGAUGCUGACCACUUCACCUCGGAGAGCAUGAACUGCUCCCAUGCCUUCAAGAGUUUUAGUGGGUAACCAGGAUGGAACUGCGGUGUUGCUUGCAGGAGAAGCUUACUACUGGUUUCUACUUCUCCAACCUCAUUGGUGGCUAUGCAGGCACUGUCUCCAGACUGUCUAUAUUCAACCCAGUAUCCAAGAAUUUCUUUACCACCAUCACAUUCAGGUUUCUCCCACUGUAGAGUGACACUAUCUUUGGAUAUUGAAAGAAUCUCAAGUUCUCCUGGUUGGCUUGGUUUAUCUGAAAUAUUUUAAAAUAAUGAAAAGGGAGUCAGCUUUACUGGUGAAAUAAAAGGACCAAACAUGGCUUGCUUCUUUAAUUUAACCCCUUCUUCUGAAUUCCUUACCAAAUGGAUCUUUGCAAACAACUGGUUCAGAAGCAGGGCUGGUCUCACUCAGGCCAACAUCAUUCUGUGCGAUGAUGCGGAACUGAUACUCAGCAUCGGGAACAAGCCCUGUGACAGUGUACAUUGUGGUGGUGAUCUGAGUCUUGUUGUGUCUGACCCACUUGUCAGUGGAUGUCUCUUUGCGUUCGAUGUAGUAGCCUGUGACUCUAGAACC
Molecule: long non-coding RNA, 1472 nt
Organism: Homo sapiens (human)
Lineage: Eukaryota; Metazoa; Chordata; Mammalia; Primates; Hominidae
Gene: TTN-AS1
Product: TTN antisense RNA 1
Source: Ensembl